Molecule: small RNA, 313 nt
Filed under: Pongo abelii (Sumatran orangutan)
Lineage: Eukaryota; Metazoa; Chordata; Mammalia; Primates; Hominidae
Description: processed transcript
Source: RNAcentral
GUGCUUCUUCCCGCGCGGCUCCACCUGCCGCGCGCUUCCGCAGCUGGCCAGUCUCUUCUGCCCCUCCCCCUCCUGUUAACACAGAAAUCUGCCUCCUGGGCCAUGCCGCUUCUAAGGCCUGUUUCUUCUCAUGAGCCCCAGCACAAGACAGAUGGGCCAGUUCUCACAGUGGAUAACUUCCCCUGCCUGAGCAAGAGAUGGGAUAGUAUCUGGGAUCUAUCCAUCACCAGACUCUGAACUUAAUAAGGCAGCUGAAUGAAGGGAGGUAACGGACCCCUGAGAGGGGCGCUGAAGUCUGCAGUGGGGGGGGAGG